CCCUACGGGGCGCAGCAGUGAGGAAUAUUGGUCAAUGGUCGGGAGACUGAACCAGCCAAGCCGCGUGAGGGAUGAAGGUACAGAGUAUCGUAAACCUCUUUUGUCAGGGAACAAAGGCGGGGACGUGUCCCCGGAUGAGUGUACCUGAAGAAAAAGCAUUGGCUAACUCCGUGCCAGCAGCCGCGGUAAUACGGAGGAUGCGAGCGUUAUCCGGAUUUAUUGGGUUCAAAGGGUGCGCAGGCGGUCUGUUAAGUCAGCGGUCAAAGCCCGGGGCUCAACCCCGGCCCGCCGUUGAAACUGGCAGG
This 305-nucleotide ribosomal RNA is filed under the name uncultured bacterium. RNAcentral describes it as "bacterial SSU rRNA". It matches the Rfam family "Bacterial small subunit ribosomal RNA", at positions 337 to 640 of the family's 1533-position model. The record is from RNAcentral.